GGCCUUUUGGCGGUGCGCUGGCACUUGCCAAAACAACCAGUGCACUACUGCACCGUCGGCAAAACCAGGACAGCUCUUUGGAGUUUCCCUCAUGGAUGUCUAUGAUAAUGACAACUUGCCCUUCCCAAUUCUGGAUAUGCUUUCAUUUAUCAAUCAGAAAGGACCACUCACGAAAGGCAUCUUCAGAAAAUCAGGAAGUAGAAAAUCAUGCAGAAUCCUAAAGGAGAAACUAAAUUCUGGGGACAGAGUGAACUUGGACAGCGAAUCUGUUCUUGUGGUAGCAUCUGUUUUAAAGGCUUGUCUUGUACACUUUUUGAUUGAAAAUUGCCUCUAGAUAUUUGGAGAAGACAUCACUUCUCUCUUGGGAGAGAAUUCAAUGAGUUGUGAUAACAAUGAGAAGGCUGCAGGUACUGUGAAUAAUUUAAUUGGCUUUGGCCAGAUGUAGACAGUAAGGUUGCUGGGGGUCAUGGUAGAUACUUAGCCCCGUUUUGGAGCCCAGAGCAUCCCCAGGGCAAUAAUUCCCAGCUGCUCCUUCUUCCGAAGGCUGGCUCACAGUUCAAGGGAGGUUUCAUACUGUUGGAGAACAAAGAAAGCAUAGAAACUUCAAAAAGUUUCUAGCUGUAUUAGGAGAUAGCAUGGUAUGUUAGAGUGUUUGGGAAUUUUUUUAAACACAGUUUUAAAUGGAUCUCACAUAUAUAUUAUAUAUGUAGUUAAGCAUAUAAUGCAUAAUUUUGUAUUUCUAUUUGUAAUAUAUAAAUGUGUUUUGUUUGAAACCAGAGCGCAAGGCUUUAUUCCUCCUCCCUCCUCGUUUUGCUCAGUGGUCUUGAGGUACCAUAGGAUUCCAGUGCUCUUUAAAAUGAGUUGAAAAGAACCAACAUCAUUGAGUAAAAAGGACCUGACUUGACUUCAAACCACCUCUCCAGAGUACAAACUCCAGUGCUCCCAUUAAUCAGCUAUAUGACAUUUGACCUAUUACUCAAGCUCAGUAUCAGUUUAUUCAUCCCUAACAUGUGGAUAAAAAUAAUGUCUAAAUCUCAGAUAUGCUGUAAAGAUUAAAUAAGAUAAUGGAUGUAAAAUACGUUUCUAAUAAAGUAAUUAAUAGAACUAGGAGAAGUUCCCCUGAGACUAGAGUGAGUAUUAUUGGAGCCUAGCUGACCACAGCUCUCUGGCAACACCCCAUUUUGUAAAACAGAGUUUAGAUUCAGAACCUGGAGACACAUAUCAUAAAUCCCUCCAUAGUUUUGACAUCUGCAUUUUAUGACACAUACCUCAUUGUGUUGAGGAAAUCUUUAGGGUAACCCACGUCAUUAGGUAUUAAGAUUAGUCUUGUGUCAUGUCUGAGAAUAUGUUGGUAUAAGACAAGUGUUUGUUUUUCAUCAGUGACAUAAAAACAAACUGCUGAAUCCAAGCCACUGAGAGUGAUAGUGAUUUCCAAAAAGGCAAAACUGUAGAAUGCUACAAAGUACCCAUCUGGCAUGGGUCCAUCCAUCUACAUGUCUACAGUUUACUAAGUCACUGAAGACUGGAAUCUCCAUAAUGACGCUUGACGUUUCCUCUUUCUUUAUUUUUCCAAUGAAUGAUAAAUGAACCCCAUCCAACACCCAGCUAUUUCCAUUUAACGUUUUUUCCUUGGUCCCAUAUAUUCAUAUUGAGGAAAUCUUCCCACAAAAUAUCUCCUUUUUCUUCAAUGCCUACCAUAUCCUAUUACAUAUUUUUUGUAUUGUAUUUUAAUGUAUUGUAUUGUACUGUACUGUAUUGUGUUGUAUGUUUUUAUAUGGAUAAUAAAAAUCAUUCCAUAACUCAGUAGGUUAGACAACUAUUUAACUUGGUUAUGAUUCACAUAACACUUCACUGAAGGCUCAAUUGAGGUCACUUGUGCAGUGACCUAAUACUCUAGUUAGCCUGCAGCUCAUCUGGAGCUAACCUAGGUGUCUGUCUAUUGGAGCUGGCUCUCAAUUGGUCCUCAUGUCUUCCAUAAGGUAACUUCUCCUCCUUUCAUAGGGUGGAGGAAGAGUUCCCAGAACCAAAAGAGACUUUUCAAGAGUUAAUGUUUGAGAGGACUGUGCAAAGGACCAUGCCAAAGAUGGUGGUUUACAAGAUGAGGAAGCAUUAUUUCUUGAGACCACACAUCAUAAAACUCAUGGCAGCACCACUACUACACAUACCCUCUCUUCACUGGCUUUUAAUCCUCAGUUCUCUACAACAGCAUUUCCUAAGGGGUAUUCCAAGUAUGGUAGGAAGUAUCUUUGAAGUACUAACUCAUUUUUUUACCUCAGGUAUUCCGUCCCUCAUCCUUCUUCCCAUCUUAAGCUGCCUUAAGAGACAACUAAAUCACCUCCUCAGGGAAUAGAAGAGGAGAAUAUGAGGAAAAGGAAGCUCUUUGUUGCUUAUAAGUCUUAAAGAUUUAGCUUUCUAGGAACCAAAAAUGAUUCAUGGCAUAGAGUAGAAGAUUUUGGUGGCAAACUCAUGGGAAAAGCUCAAAACCACUAGGCAGGUACAUGGGAUAUCUGCACCAUUUCCUGCAUGGAAACCAAAAGGAAGCAGAUAUUCCUCACAGAAUAGCGAGCUGACAUGUCUAAGAAAUAUGGCCCUCUAU
RNA transcript from Canis lupus familiaris (dog), 2596 nucleotides. It is a transcript of the gene named rho GTPase-activating protein 20-like, with no coding region annotated. The record is from RefSeq and is a predicted model, not a curated record. The transcript has 3 exons. NCBI's taxonomy places the organism in Eukaryota, Metazoa, Chordata, Mammalia, Carnivora, Canidae.